Molecule: ribosomal RNA, 315 nt
Filed under: uncultured Diversispora
Lineage: Eukaryota; Fungi; Glomeromycota; Glomeromycetes; Diversisporales; Diversisporaceae
Description: SSU rRNA
Rfam family: Eukaryotic small subunit ribosomal RNA
Source: RNAcentral
AGCAGCCGCGGUAAUUCCAGCUCCAAUAGCGUAUAUUAAAGUUGUUGCAGUUAAAAAGCUCGUAGUUGAACUUCGGGAUUUGCUCAUUGGUCAGGCUUAACUGUCUGUACUGGUGUAACGAAUUCCUACCUUCUGAUGAAUCUUCAUGCCAUUUACUUGGUGCGUAGGGGAAUCAGGACUGUUACUUUGAAAAAAUUAGAGUGUUUAAAGCAGGCUAUUGCUCGAAUACAUUAGCAUGGAAUAAUAGAAUAGGACGGUUGGUUCUAUUUUGUUGGUUUCUAGGAUCACCGUAAUGAUUAAUAGGGAUAGUUGGGG